RNAcentral lists this non-coding RNA (148 nucleotides) under Homo sapiens (human). The record is from Rfam by way of RNAcentral. Lineage: Eukaryota; Metazoa; Chordata; Mammalia; Primates; Hominidae.
GCCAGGCAUGGUGGUGCAUGCCUGUAAUCCCAGCUACUCGGGAGGCUGAGACAGGAGAAUUGCUUGAAUCUGGGAGGUGGAGGUUGCAGUGAGCUGAGAUCGUGCCACUGCAUUCCAGCCUGGGUGACAGAGUAAGACUCUGUCUCAA